This 10156-nucleotide long non-coding RNA is filed under the name Sorghum bicolor (sorghum). RNAcentral's name for it is "long non-coding RNA (SBIC_LNC000805)". The record is from RNAcentral. Lineage: Eukaryota; Viridiplantae; Streptophyta; Magnoliopsida; Poales; Poaceae.
UGGGUCUUUCUUCCUUAUUUCCUGAUAACCCCCUGCAGAAACAGAUAAACAACAAAACUCGUGGAAUUCUGUAAGAUCAAACCCUAAUUCUAGGUGUUGGUUGCAUAUUGGUCCUUUCCCUUGUUUAUUGAAUAAUUAAAAUUGAUACUUAAGAACCGUCAACAAAUACCCCCAUACUUAGGCUUUUACUCGUCCUCGAGAAAAGGAUGGUUAAGAAAAAAAAUCUGGGGUAAACAUUUAAAACAUUCUUUUUAUUUGCAGGGUGUUAAAAUUCCACUGUGUACCAUAGUCAGGAAAGUUUAUGGUUAAGAGUAAUGAUCCUUUCUUCUCAAUCCUGUCACUUGGAGUUUUUGUAUAUUUUUGAAAGAAAGUUAGCAUACCUUUUUAUCCUCAUAGGUUCUUCUCAGAUCACUCAUUAUCUUUUAUAUAUUUCACUGAGGUUGUUUUAUUUUGCAAAAAUUCUCAAGCAUACUUACUUUGCAUUUAUUGCCUGAUCAAAACGGGAUCCGAGGAGGGGAAUGUCAUACUCUUAGAUCAAAGACUUUGGAAAUUAAAAUCUUUGUCAACUCCUGCUGGCAUAUUGCUUAUUAGGGGGACCAUGGGCUAUCAUUUUUCUUCUUCUUUUUUUUAAGUGGAUACCGAGGUACCCCUAAUUCUACUACCGGACACUUGUCCAUUUUUCUGCGAGGUUGUCGAGCACUUGCUCCUUUUUAUUUCCUCGAAUUAUCUCUAUUUUUUGCAUAGCCCAUGCCUCUAAUGCAAUAAUACUUCGGAAGAGUGAAUCUUUCUGAAUAAAUGUCUUGAUCUUAGGAGCAUGAUAAAUCUCUCAACAAGGGUCUAACUCAUUUUGAACAAACUCAAUACAGAAGAGAUAGCUUUUAUAAUUAUAAUUAAUAUUUUUAGUUUUAUCAGGAAUAUAAAACACUGAGGAUGGUAGCUUGAGUUUUGAAUAUUUUGAAAUAAAUUCUCCAAGCAACAAUGAUAUCAAGAAUAAGAAACUCAUACUCUACCAUCACAUAUUCCAUAUUGACUUAAGUAACACAGGGUUUUAAAAUGAUUUUAUAAUAAUUGCAAGUUUUUAGGAAAUAUCACAGAUUGAGAUUAAUCAUGAUUAGAAAUAUUUUAAUAUUUUUAAUUUAUCAUGUCGGAGACAAUAUUCUGCAUAAUCCAAGAUAUAUGUGUGUGUAAAGUAAAGUGUGCACAGUGUGUACCUGAAUCGUGGAGUGGUGUAGUCGGAGUGUGUUUGGCAUGUUGAGGGAUCUCCCCCAUACUUGUUUUCUGCUUUCUUGCACAAAAAUAAAGUAGAGACACACAAGACAUAAUAAUAAUAAUAAUAAUAAUAAUAAUAAUAAUAAUAAUAAUAAUAAUAAUAAUAAUAAUAAUAAUAAUAAUACUCUUUAUUAAUCUUGAGGCAUUUAAUACAAAAGACUAGUAGCAAACUGAUAGCAAACUGAUGAUAAUAGUAAACCUAAACCGAAUUUAAAGAUAGAUAACUAACAUGCAUUGCCUCAAGGUCUAAUCUAGAUAACUUAGCGGCGCUCUAAUUCCCUAAUCUUCUUGUUGGCACUGGCAAGAUCCUGCCUAAGGCCUAGUAUAAUGGUGUUGUGGUUAGAGAGCUGCAUAGUGAGGGAAUUAAUCGAGGACUGGAGGUCUAUGAUAAUUCUAUCUAGUCUACGAACGUCCUCAUCAAUAUCCAUUAUAGUCUUGCGACGCUUGGGAGGUGUCUCAAAAGCAUUGAGAGCGUGCUUCGGGGCUGCCUUUGGAGGGAUGAAACGGACUUUGGCUGCUGUAAUCCCUUCAAAGUAAGGCCUUUCCUCCUCUGUAGUGUAGCGAAUACUGCUGAUCUCGCCGCUCCGGUUGGUCUUGACUCCAACGACCCUCUCAUUGGGUCUAGGUGGAAGGAUCCUCGUGCCGGUUGGCACCUUGAUGGUGGUCUUCGUCUUGGAUGAUGAUCCCUUGAGGAGUAGGGGUUGUGGCGGUGCGGUGAGAACUGGUUGAGCAUGAUAGGAUUGGGCGGAGCUGCGUUGGCGUAAUGGCAUGGCUUCUAGCUGUCGCUCUGUGUUGGCCGGGACGAGAGCACGGGCAUCGGGGUCUUCCACAGGCUCCAUGUUGAGGUUGAAGGGGACGACUUCCCAAUCAUCGUGGUACUUCUCGUCCAUUGGAGCAGCAAGGAACUAAUCAAGCUCUAAUUGAAGGAGAGAAGGCUUGGUGGCUUGGUGUUUGAAAACUGAGGUCAGGGGUCUGUUUAUAUGAGGGUCAAAAAGUACCUCUACGGGUUGUUCGGGUUGCUCCCGUCGAUGUGCGUGCGAAAUUUUCCAUCCGAGGGAUUAUUCGAAUUACCAUAAGUGCAUUUUCCAUAACAGAGAAAAUCGGGACCGAGGGGGAACAGGAGCUGGGCGCCCGCCCACCUGAUCUGGGCGCCCGCCCUCUCUCUGGCCCCUCUGUGGGCCCACUUUCCCGAGCGUGUUUCUAGAUGCGAAAUUAUUUAGAAAAAUAUAUAUAUGACCCAUAAACAUCAGACUAAAAUGGUCGGGCUCUAAUUCUCCAUGGGAAGGUAAAAAUGGACUACGUAUAUUUCUUCUAAUUCUUUAUUAGGCUCUAAAAAUAAUUUAAGACGUUGACCAUUUACCUUGAAUAACGUACCUUCGUCAUUUUGAAGUGUGAUAGCUCCAUGGGAUGAUGAAUUAAUUACCUUGAAUGGUCCUUCCCAAUUGCUCCGGAGUUUUCCAUGCCCGAAAAGCUUCACCCUGGAAUUAAAAAGUAAUACCUUAUCUCCGGGUGUGAACUCCUUCUUCUUGAUUCUCUUAUCAUGCCACCUUUUGACUCUUUCUUUGUAGAUCUUUGAAUUGUGAUAUGCUUUCUCUCGCCAUUCUUCCAAUUGUGAUAGUUGCAUUCUUCUAUAAUCUCCAGCAACAUCUAGGUACAUAUUCCAUCUCUUUAUGGCCCAGUGUGCUUUGAACUCUAGUUCAACAGGUAGAUGGCAAGUCUUCCCGUACACCAAUUGGUAUGGGGACAUUCCAAUUGGGGUCUUGUAUGCUGUCCGGUAUGCCUAGAGUGCAUCGGGUAACAUGUCUUUCCACGCCGUUCCCAUUUUAUUUACUGUCUUCUGAAGAAUAUUCUUGAUUUGUUUGUUGGAAGUCUCUACUUGGCCACUUGUUUGAGGAUGAUAGGGGGUAGCGACAUUGUGACGGAUUCCAUCUUUUGAUAGAUAUUGCUUGAAGCGUUUGUCUAUGAAGUGUGCUCCUCCAUCACUUAUCACUACUCUGGGGACUCCAAAUCUUGGAAAUAUAAUUUCUUCAAACAUCCUCUUUGAACUGACGUUGUCGGCAUGCUUGCAAGGUAAUGCCUCUACCCACUUCGAGACAUAGUCAACUGCCACCAAGAUGUACUCACACUUCUUUGAUGGAGGAAAUGGACCCAUGUAGUCUAUUCCCCAGACAUCAAAGAGCUCAAUCUGAAGGUUGUUGGUGAGUGGCAUUGCAUCCCUUGUAUUUAUGUUUCUGUGUCUUUGACAUGGCCCACAUCUUCUGAUAUAUUGCUUCGUGUCUUCAUACAUUGUAGGCCAGUAGAAUCCACACUGCCAGAUCUUUGAAUGUGUACGGAAUGCUCCAUAGUGACCUCCAUAUGGUGAUGAAUGACGUCUGUCGAUGAUCUUCCAUCCUUCUUCAGUGGUCACACAUCUCCUAAGUAAGCCAUCAGAGCAUACUCGGAAGAGGUAUGGCUCAUCCCAUAUAUGUGAACAACUUUCUUGAAUAAGCUUAUUCUUGUUUGCUCCUGGUGGUACAUACCCUGAAACCAUAAAAUUAACAAUAUCUGCAUACUAGGGGUCAGACCUAUUAAUCCCGUAGAGCAUGUCGUCCCGGAGUGAAUCAUUGAUGGGGGUUUCCUGUGGACUCUUAAAAUACAUUCUAGACAAGUGAUCAGCGACAGAAUUUUCUACUCCCUUUUUAUCUUUUAUUUCUAAGUCAAAUUCUUGGAGUAAUAAGAUCCAUCUAAUCAGGCGAGGUUUAGCAUCUUUUUUAGUGAGCAAAUAUUUUAGUGCAGCAUGAUCAGUGUAAACAAUUAUUUUAGCUCCAACUAAACAAGAUCUAAAUUUAUCAGUGGCAAAGACAACAGCCAGAAGCUCUUUUUCAGUGGUUGCAUAGUUAAGUUGAGCUCCUGUCAAAGUUUUACUGGCAUAAGCAAUUGCAUGAUGCUUCUUAUUUUUAGUUUGUCCCAAUACUGCCCCUACAGCAUAAUCACUAGCAUCACACAUAAUUUCAAAAGGCAACGACCAAUCAGGGGGUUGAAUGAUUGGUGCAGAGAUGAGUGCUUUCUUUAAUAAAUUGAAAGAUGUUAGACAUGCAUCAUCAAAUUCGAAAGGAGCAUCCUUGGCUAGCAAAAGAGUAAGUGGUCUAGCAAUAAAUGAAAAAUCUUUUAUGAAUCUACGAUAAAAACCAGCAUGGCCAAGAAAGCUUCGAAUUCCUUUUAUAUUCACAGGUGGAGGUAGUUGUUCAAUUACUUCAAUUUUAGCUUUGUGUACCUCAAUACCUCUUUCAGACACUAGGUGUCCCAGCACUAUUCCUUCCCUAACCAUAAAAUGACAUUUUUCCCAAUUAAGGACUAAGUGCUUUUCUUCACAUCUUUGCAAAACCUUGUCUAAGUUUUCAAGACAACCAUCAAAAGUUUUUCCAUAAACAGAGAAAUCAUCCAUGAAAACUUCCAUAAUCUCUUCAAUCAUAUUAGAAAAUAUAGACAUCAUGCAUCUUUGAAAAGAAGCUGGUGCAUUACAUAACCCAAAAGACAUUCUACAAUAAGCAUAAGUUCCAUAAGGGCAUGCAAAAGUGGUUUUGCUUUGAUCAUCGGGAUGGAUUGGGAUCUGAUGAUACCCUGAAUAUCCAUCUAAGAAACAGAAGAACGAAUGGUUCGCUAACCGCUCUAGCAUCUCAUCUAUGAAAGGUAAAGGAAAGUGAUCCUUUCUCGUGGCUUUGUUUAGUUUUCUAUAGUCUAUGCACAUCCGCCAUCCUAUGACGGUGCGUUGCGGAAUUAGCUCGUUCUUUUCAUUCAUAAUAACAGUCAUGCCUCUCUUUUUAGGCACAACUUGCACUAGGCUUACCCACUCACUGUACGGCACAGGAUAUAUAAUCCCUGCAUGCAGCAACUUUAUAACUUCCUUUUUAACUACCUCUCUCAUAGUGUUAUUAAGUCUACGUUGGGGUUCUCGAGAGGGUGCAACAGAAGGAUCUGUUGGAAUACGAUGGGUACAAAUCAUAGGACUGAUUCCUGUAAGAUCUUGGAGUGAGUAGCCGAACACUGAGUGAUGUUUCUCAAGAAUGGUCAUUAAUCGCAGAGUUUGAUCCUGAGUGAGUUUAUCGCUAAUGAUUACAGGGAACUCUGGAUUAUUGUUUAGGAAAGCAUAGAUAAGACCGGGUGGUAAAGUUUUAAGCUCUAUGGGGGGUCUAGGUGUUUCUGCAAACUCAUCUAAAGGUUCAGGCUCAGAAGGUUCGGCUUCUUCUUCUAUGAAGAAAGGAGUUUCGUCUUCUAAGUCUGGUUCAUCUAAAAGCUCUAGAGAUGCAGCCUUUACCUCCUCCAUAGGAUCAGGCAAAAGAUAUGAUUCGGCCUUAUUGUUUAAGGAGUGUGAAAUUGUUAUUGGGAAUUUAAAGGUUUUUCCAAAAGAAAUGUGUAGCUUUCCAGUAUGACCUUCAUAAAGGAGUUUCUAAAAGGUUGUCCUAUCAACAGGUCGAAGUCCCAUGUAUCAAAGAUAUAGAAGUUCAAAUGAACCAUGGAGCCUUCUACCGUAAGAGGUAGGACAUUAAUAAUUCCAAGACUGGGGACUAAUCGUCCCGAAGAUUCCUUUAUGACCUUUGUUGUGGGGGUUAAGACAAGAUUUUUAAAUAGUUUAAGUGCACAAGAUUCAGACAUGAUGUUGAUCCCCACAACAGGAUUAUAAAGAGCAUUAAAUCGAUCAGAAUUAUAAGCACAGUGUAUAGUUAUAGAGGGUGUGUCCAAACGGAUCACAUCAGAGGUAAGCUCUAAUUCCUCCAACCAUUCGCUACUCAUGACUGAGAUAAGCUCUCUCAAUUGAUGUUCACUUGGCAAACAAAUGCUAAAAUGGCCGUUUUGGAGUUUGUCAACAGAAUGGUAGUUUGAAAUAUUUCCAAAAUCGGCAAAAAGAUCGGAUUCUAUAUCCAGCAUGAAGUCCGGUGGUGGAAUUUCUUCCUCUUGUGGCUCAGAACUUGGGAUAGCUAAAGUAGAUGAAGAAUUUGGCAGAGUGUCUACUUCGGCUUCGUAGGUUUCAUCAUGAAGGGUAUUAUCCAUCUCAACUUCUAGGAUCCUAUCUAGGAUCACUCUAGCUUCAUUAGUAGGGAUGCGAAAGAAAGAACCUCUACACAUUGUGUGUAGCAUUUGUUUGUGAUUUUUCUGAAGACCUCAAAAAAAGUGAAAUCAAAGAACAGGGUCUUCAAGAUUAAGGUUGGGACCAGAUUCUAAAAGAUCAGAAAAACGUUUCCAGGAUUUUCCCAAAGUUUCAUUAUAUUUUUGUUUAAAAGAUAGGACUUCGAGUCUAUGGUCGGCUAUACGGUCAAGGGAAUAGAAAUAUAGACAAAAGUUGGCUCGUAAAACUCCCCAUUCACCUUGUUGUUGACUUACCUUCUGACUGUACCAUUGUCUAGCUUCUCCCCUUAAAGAAAAAGGAAAAAGCUUCCAACGUAAAGUUUUAUCAGAAAUGCCUUCAAUGCGAAGACAAUCGCAUGUUUGCUCAAAAUCUCUAAUAUGAAGGUAAGGGUUUUCGUCUUCCUUUCCUGAAAAAGAUAGGUUUUGAAUCAUGGCAAUGAACCUAGAACUUAACUUAUACUGGGAUGUUUGGAUAGGCUGUGAUGACUCCCAUGGUAAAAGGUCAGUUACUGAAGGGAUUGCAGAUUCAUGGAUCGAUUUAAAAUUUUGGUUUUCCAUAAGGUAAGAGUAAAGAAAAUAAAUAAAGAAUAUGAAAGAUAAGAAAAGAUAAAAGUAUAGAUACAAGCUAGUAGUAAGACUCAGGUUAUCUCAGCAACCGUCUUUCUCCCCAGCAACGGCGCCAGAAAUGCUUGUUGAUAUUUGGGAACGCAAUAAGGAAUUGAUCCGCAAGCGCACGGAUAUCGGUGAGCACUUCACCCGGGAAAUUAUCCAGAGUAUCGUAUUUAUUUUUUUACCACUAGGAGAAAGAGUGCAUCUGACUAACCGGUCUAUUACUACUAACCCUUUAGGCACAAAGAAUGUCUUUCGAUGUGAGUGAUAAAUAGAUAAGACUGCAACCGUAGUCUCCUUCUAACCUUGGUAAGGAUGAUUUACUAUUCUAUUGGGGAGGCUAACGGAAUCUAGGCACCACAAAGGAUGUUCAACCCGCACCUAUAAACCCUAUCCUUCCUGCUAACGAGAUAUGGUCUGCAAAGGUAACUCGGAAUUGUCACGUUCCUCACUACUUCCACGGUCCAGCUAGUCAGGGAAUAUCUUUGAGUACCCCAGCCUAAACACCACAUUUACGCCAGCAAUGAUUACUCUAAACUCUACGCAAAGAGAUUAAAGUAAACUCAUAAACUAGAAGAACAAUAAAACAAGAACUUACUAGAAUUUAGAAGUCGAAAUACUGAAGAAUCCUAGGAGCAAGCUUCGGGUUAGGAGAACUUGAUCCCGCAGGUACAAGCUUGGAGUAGACACCGACAGGCCGGGCUUCCUCCAAUCUACACCUCCACUCUAUCUCUAUCAAUCUAGUAGAAACUAGAAGAUCUAUUUCUACUUUACAUUGGUUGCUAAGCCUAAAAACAAAUAUUAAUUAGAGAAGAGGUUUUCCUUCGAGGGCACCCCUCAAUCUCUAUGAUAAUUUCUUCAUGUCUUCUCUAGGGGCCAGGGGGUCUCCUUAUAUAGUCCUCCUCCUCUAUGCGUUUUUGGGUCGGUAGGCGAGGUGGUACUAUGCUUUCUUUGAUCCAUUAGGUCGGUGGAACAUCGUGUGCGAAGAGAGUCCCGAACGGGAUCCAGCAGGGGGCGGGCGCCCAGGUCACCAGGGCGGGCGCCCUGGGCCUGGCCCCUUUCGGCCUCUGCUUCGUUCUCGUGGCUUCUGGAGUCUUCUAGAUGGUAGAAAAUCGCGCGGUGCGUUGAUAUCUCUAUGUAAUCCCGACAUGUGGGCCUUUCUUCCUUAUUUCCUGAUAACCCCCUGCAGAAACAGAUAAACAACAAAACUCGUGGAAUUCUGUCAGAUCAAACCCUAAUUCUAGGUGUUGGUUGCAUAUUGGUCCUUUCUCUUGUUUAUCUGAUAAUUAAAAUUGAUACUUAAGAACCGUCAACAAAUACCCCCAUACUUAGGCUUUUACUCGUCCUCGAGAAAAGGAUGGUUAAGAACAAUACUUGGGGUAAAACAUUCUUUAUAUUUGCAGGGUAUUAGAAUCCACUGUGUACUGUAGUCAGGGAAGUAUAUGAUUAAGAGUAAAGAUCCUUUCUUCUCAAUCCUGUUACUUGGAGUUUUUGUAUAAUUUUGAAAGAAAGCUAGCAUACCUUUUUAUCCUCAUAGGUUCUCUCAGAUCACUCAUUAUCUUUUAUAUAUCUCACUGAGGCUGUUUUAAUUUGCAAAAAUUCUUAAGCAUACUUACUUUGCAUUUAUUGCCUGAUCAAAACGGGAUCUGAGGAGGGGAAUGUCAUACUCUUAGAUCAAAGACUUUGGAAAUUAAAACUUUGUCAACUCUUGCUGGCAUAUUGCUUAUUAGAGGGACCAUGGGCUAUCAUUUUCUUUUUCUCUCUCUUUUUUUUCUCUUUUUUCUUCUUCUUUUUAAUGGAUACCGAGGUAUCCCUAAUUCUACUGCCGGACACUUGUCCAUUUUUCUGCGAGAGCACUUGGUCCUUUUUAUUUCCUCAAAAUAUCUUUUAUUUUUGCAUAGCCCAUGCCUCUAAUGCAAUAAUACUUCGGAAGAGUGAAUCUUUCUGAAUAAAUGUCUUGAUCUUAGGAGUAUGAUAAAUCUCUCAACAAGGGUCUAACUCAUUUUGAUCAAACUCAAUACAGAGUAGAUAGCUUUUAUAAUCAUAAUUAAUAUUUUCAGUUUUAUCAGGCAUAUAAAACACUGAGGACGGUAGCUAGAAUUUUGAAGAUUUUGAAAUAAAUUCUCCAAGCAACAAUGAUAUCAAGAAUAAGAAACUCAUACUGUACUUUUACAUAUUCCAUAUUGACUUAAGUAAUACAUGGUUUAAAAAUGAUUUUCAAUAAUUGCAAGUUUCCAGGAAAUAUCACAGAUUGAGAUUAAUCAUGAUUAGAAAUAUUUUAAUCUUUUUAAUGUAUCAUGUCGGAAACAGUAAUCUGCAUAAUCAAGAUAUGUGAAGUGUAAAGUAAAGUGUGCAGAGUGUGUACCUGAAUCGUGGAGUGGUGUAGUCGAAGUGUGUUUUGCGUGUCGAGGGAUCUCCCCCAUACUUGUUUUCUCCUUUCUUGCACAAAAAUAAAGUAGAGACACACAAGACAUAAUAAUAGUAAUACUCUUUAUUAAUCUUGAGGCAUUUAUUACAAAAGACUAGUAGCAAACUGAUGAUAAUAGUAAACCUAAACCGAAUUUAAAGAUAAAUAACUAAGAUGCAUUGCCUCAAGGUCUAAUCUAGAUAACUUAGCGGCGCUCUAAUUCCUUAAUCUUCGUGUUGGCACUGGCAAGAUCAUGCCUAAGGCCUAGUAUAAUAGUGUUGUGGUUAGAGAGCUGCCUAGUGAGGGAAUUAAUCGAGGACUAGAGGUCUAUGAUAACUCUGUCUAGCCUGCGAACGUCCUCAUCAAUAUCGACUAUAGUCUUGCGACGCUUGGGAGGUGUCUCAAAAGCAUUGAGAGCGUGUUUCGGGGCUGCCUUUGGAGGGAUGAAAUGGACUUUGGCUGCUCUAAUCCCUUCGACGUAAGGCCUUUCCUCCUCCGUAGUGUAGGGAAUACUGCUGAUCUCGCCGCUCCGGUUGGUCUUGACUCCAACGACCCUCUCAUUGGGUCUAGGUGGAAGGAUCCUUGUGCCGGUUGACACCUUGAUGGUGGUCUUCGUCUUGGAUUGUGGCGGUGCGGUGAGAACUGGUUGAGCAUGGUAGGAUUGGGCGGAGCUGCGUUGGCGUAAUGGCAUGGCUUCUAGCUGUCGCUCUGUGUUGGCCGGGACGAGAGCACGGGCGUCGGGGUCUUCCACAGGCUCCAUGUUGAGGU